Molecule: small nuclear RNA, 82 nt
Filed under: Periophthalmus magnuspinnatus
Lineage: Eukaryota; Metazoa; Chordata; Actinopteri; Gobiiformes; Gobiidae
Description: U4 spliceosomal RNA (ENSPMGG00000006079.1)
Rfam family: U4 spliceosomal RNA (bases 18-82)
About the family: U4 small nuclear RNA (U4 snRNA) is a component of the major U2-dependent spliceosome. The structure of U4 snRNA from yeast and human has been reported.
Source: RNAcentral
CACAUUGAGUCAGUCAAAUCGUAGCCUAUGAGGUCUAUCCGAGGCGUGAUUAUUGCUAGUUGAAAACUUUACCCAAUACCCC